Molecule: unclassified non-coding RNA, 171 nt
Organism: Microcebus murinus (gray mouse lemur)
Lineage: Eukaryota; Metazoa; Chordata; Mammalia; Primates; Cheirogaleidae
Source: Ensembl
GGAUAGUAUCCCUGGGAGGCAGAUAGGAUGCUGUGCCCUGGAAUUGUCUCACCAUUUGAAUUGGUAUUGCUCAGCCCUGUGGAUUCAACAUCCCAGGGACCAUGGCUUUCUGGCUUUUUGUCUUUUUGGAUGGCUGCUUAUCACAAUAUUGUCGUAUUUGCUUUAGGCAAA